GAUCAGGUGGCCGAGUGGUUAAGGCGAUGGACUGCUUUCCAUUGAGUUGUUCCCGCGUGAGUUCGAAUCUCAUCCUGAUCG
Molecule: transfer RNA, 81 nt
Filed under: Anisakis simplex (herring worm)
Lineage: Eukaryota; Metazoa; Nematoda; Chromadorea; Rhabditida; Anisakidae
Rfam family: tRNA
About the family: Transfer RNA (tRNA) molecules are approximately 80 nucleotides in length. Their secondary structure includes four short double-helical elements and three loops (D, anti-codon, and T loops). Further hydrogen bonds mediate the characteristic L-shaped molecular structure. tRNAs have two regions of fundamental functional importance: the anti-codon, which is responsible for specific mRNA codon recognition, and the 3' end, to which the tRNAs corresponding amino acid is attached (by aminoacyl-tRNA synthetases). tRNAs cope with the degeneracy of the genetic code in two manners: having more than one tRNA (with a specific anti-codon) for a particular amino acid; and 'wobble' base-pairing, i.e. permitting non-standard base-pairing at the 3rd anti-codon position.
Source: Rfam by way of RNAcentral